CAUCGAUUAAACAAGUUCUCUUGAGGGUCUAAGGCAAACAUUUUGUAUUUUAGUUUCUUUUUGCCGCUUCAAUUUACGGUUAGAAGGUGGUCGUGAGCGUGUGCUACCAGGGAACAACUCUUACAACUCAGAGAGAAAACUGUGAAUUCUCCAUCAAGUUGUAGUGGAAUUUGUUUCCUUGUGACAUCUUGAAUUUUGAGGAUAAGAUUGUCAUACAUAUCCUGCAGUUAAAGUAGGAU
Molecule: small RNA, 239 nt
Filed under: Vigna angularis var. angularis
Lineage: Eukaryota; Viridiplantae; Streptophyta; Magnoliopsida; Fabales; Fabaceae
Description: Non-protein coding transcript
Source: RNAcentral